Molecule: ribosomal RNA, 509 nt
Filed under: proteobacterium MS-M-51
Lineage: Bacteria; Pseudomonadati; Pseudomonadota
Description: bacterial SSU rRNA
Rfam family: Bacterial small subunit ribosomal RNA
Source: RNAcentral
CGUGGGAAUAUGCCUUUCGGUGCGGAACAACCAUUGGAAACGAUGGCUAAUACCGCAUACGCCCUGAGGGGGAAAGAUUUUAUCGCCGAGAGAUUAGCCCGCGCUAAAUUAGCUAGUUGGUAAGGUAAAGGCUUACCAAGGCUACGAUUUAUAGCUGGUUUGAGAGGAUGAUCAGCCACACUGGGACUGAGACACGGCCCAGACUCCUACGGGAGGCAGCAGUGGGGAAUAUUGGACAAUGGGGGCAACCCUGAUCCAGCCAUGCCGCGUGAGUGAAGAAGGCCUUAGGGUUGUAAAACUCUUUCAGCAGGGAAGAUAAUGACGGUACCUGCAGAAGAAGCUCCGGCUAACUCCGUGCCAGCAGCCGCGGUAAUACGGAGGGAGCUAGCGUUGUUCGGAAUUACUGGGCGUAAAGCGCGCGUAGGCGGAUGAAUAAGUUGGGGGUGAAAGCCCGGGGCUCAACCUCGGAACUGCCCUCAAAACUGUUCAUCUAGAAUCCUGGAGAGGUG